Ribosomal RNA from Erinaceus europaeus (western European hedgehog), 100 nucleotides. Lineage: Eukaryota; Metazoa; Chordata; Mammalia; Eulipotyphla; Erinaceidae. The record is from Ensembl.
GUCUAUGGCCAUACCACCCUAAACAUGCCCGAUCUCAUCUGAUCUUGGAAGCUAAGCAGGGUUAGCACUUGGAUGGGAGAAAACUUUCAUGCCUGAGGCU